Molecule: long non-coding RNA, 1731 nt
Filed under: Salmo salar (Atlantic salmon)
Lineage: Eukaryota; Metazoa; Chordata; Actinopteri; Salmoniformes; Salmonidae
Description: lncRNA (ENSSSAG00000095570.1)
Source: RNAcentral
GGGAGAAGUUUGAAUACUCGCUAACUGGGACUCAUGUUAAUGUUACUACUUAGCUUCGGCUGAUGGAGGUCCUGACGAACCACGUCCAGAUAAAGCAUCCGGAGUGAAAAAAUUGAAUGAAAAAAUUAUGUCCUUUACCACUACAUGAGUGUUGCUGCUUUCUAGAGGGAGAUGGCGAACAGCAAUGCCAAGCUGUGUGUGUCUGUUUUGGGUUCAUUGUGGAGAUGAGCUGGAGGUUGAGGGAGCUUCAAUCCUGGGGACUGAUGGAAAGGAAGAUGCUAUAUAGAGUCUGGUGGGGCUGCUGCUGAGAGGAGUGGGAGACAAACUCAAUGAGGAGGAGGAAGCUUUUGUGAAUGAUGAUGAGGAAGUCGACUGAGCCAGAGGGAUUUUCCCCAUUCUAUACCCCCAUUGUCUUCUUCCCGAUUAUACACUUUUUUCCCAAAGUAUGCACUUGCGCAUUUUCUGUCAUGGAUCAGAAUUUGAUUGGCGUAAUUAUUGGCUAAAGGGAGUUCCCACCAUUGUUAAAUCUAUGACGGGAAAGGGUGGAUAAUUGGGAUCUAGCUCUCUAACCCCAGCCCUAACCCCUAGAGAAGUUUCAACUCAGGGUAAUGUAUUGCUAUUAUUGCAUGCCCAAUUAAACAUUGAUUUUGCACAAAGAAACAUGUACAUAGACAUAUAGAUGACUGUCUUCCAGAGCCAUAGGAUAUGAGGGAAACUGUUCAUCUCAAGCCCCAUUCCAUCUUUUGAAUUAUAAAUGUAUAUGAUAUAAGAAUGUAUAUGAAACUACAGUAUUCAGGUGUUUUUGUUACAUUUUAAUUGGGACUAUAGGAAUGUAAAAAAUAGACAAAUCUGUUGAAUGAAACCUAUUUACUUGUAUAAUUUUACAUUAUAUUUAGUUAUUUACUUUAUUUUUUAUUGUAAGAAUAAUGAUGAUGAUGAGACUGCGUACCAUUGAUCUAGCCUUGUCACGCCGUGAUCUGUUACACCUGUCCUUGUGCUUGUCUCCUCCUCCCCCCAGGUGUCGCCAAUCUUCCCUAUUAUCACCUGUGUAUUUAUACCUGUGUUCUCUGUCUUGUUUGUUGCCAGUUUGUCUUGUUCGUUCAAGCUUACCAGCGGUUUUCCUGUCAGCGGCUAUUGUUUCCAACCCUUGCUUUGCUAGUCCUCCUGGUUUUGACCGAUGCCUGACAUCUCUGCCUGAGCCUGCACCUUUGCUCCACCUCUGGAUUACUGAACCCUGCCUGACCCUGAGUCUGCCUGCCGUCCUGUACCUUUGCCUAACCCUUGAUUUUCGACCCCUGCCUGCCUUGACCUGUCUUUGCAUGUCCCUGUUUGCUACAAUAAACAGGGUUACUUCGACAGUCUGCAUCUGGGUCUUACCUUGAUUCUUGAUAAGCCUAUACUGUCAGAUCCAAAUAAUGUUUACAUAAAGCAACAUUGCCAAAGAUGUCAACAUUCCAGACCUCCAGGACAUGUCCUCAUUUGAUCCAGAGAUGGAACCACUGGUUAAAUCGUGACUGGACCAAAGACUGGGGCAGAUCUACUGGGCUCCUGAGUGGCGCAGAGGUCUAAGGCACUGCAUCUCAGUGCUAGAGGUGUCACUACAGACCCUGGUUUCGAAUCCAGGCUGUUUCACAACUGGCCAUGAUUGGGAGUCUGCACAAUUGGCCCAGCGUCAUCCGGGUUUGGCCGGGGUAGGCCGUCAUUGUAAAUAAGAAUUUGUCCUUAACUGAC